RNAcentral lists this ribosomal RNA (274 nucleotides) under uncultured bacterium. RNAcentral describes it as "partial 16S ribosomal RNA". It matches the Rfam family "Bacterial small subunit ribosomal RNA", at positions 523 to 796 of the family's 1533-position model. The record is from RNAcentral.
AGACGAACCGUACGAACGUUAUUCGGAAUUACUGGGCUUAAAGAGUACGUAGGCGGCUCGGCAAGUUGGGUGUGAAAUCCCUCGGCUCAACCGAGGAACUGCGCUCAAAACUGCCAGGCUUGAGGGAGAUAGAGGUGAGCGGAACAGAUGGUGGAGCGGUGAAAUGCGUUGAUAUCAUCUGGAACACCUGUGGCGAAAGCGGCUCACUGGGUCUCUUCUGACGCUGAGGUACGAAAGCUAGGGUAGCGAACGGGAUUAGAAACCCCAGUAGUCC